GUUCUGAGAGGAUGAUCCCCCACACUGGUACUGAGACACGGACCAGACUCCUACGGGAGGCAGCAGUGAGGAAUAUUGGUCAAUGGGCGCAAGCCUGAACCAGCCAUCCCGCGUGCAGGAUGACGGCCCUAUGGGUUGUAAACUGCUUUUGUACACCAAGAAAACUCGCUACGUGUAGCGAUCUGACGGUAGUGUAUGAAUAAGCAUCGGCUAACUCCGUGCCAGCAGCCGCGGUAAUACGGAGGAUGCAAGCGUUAUCCGGAUUCAUUGGGUUUAAAGGGUGCGUAGGCGGCCUUUUAAGUCAGUGGUGAAAUCCUGCCGCUUAACGGUAGAAUUGCCAUUGAUACUGAAAGGCUUGAGUUCAGUUGAGGUAAGCGGAAUGUGUAGUGUAGCGGUGAAAUGCUUAGAUAUUACACAGAACACCAAUUGCGAAGGCAGCUUACUAAACUGACACUGACGCUGAUGCACGAAAGCGUGGGGAGCGAACAGGAUUAGAUACCCUGGUAGUCCACGCCGUAAACGAUGUUCACUCGCUGUUUGCGAUACACAGCAAGCGGCCAAGCGAAAGC
This 569-nucleotide ribosomal RNA is filed under the name uncultured bacterium. Its description in RNAcentral is "bacterial SSU rRNA". It matches the Rfam family "Bacterial small subunit ribosomal RNA", at positions 289 to 858 of the family's 1533-position model. The record is from RNAcentral.